This 301-nucleotide ribosomal RNA is filed under the name uncultured bacterium. RNAcentral describes it as "partial 16S ribosomal RNA". It matches the Rfam family "Bacterial small subunit ribosomal RNA", at positions 509 to 809 of the family's 1533-position model. The record is from RNAcentral.
CAGUCGCCGCGGUAAUACGUAGGGUGCGAGCGUUAAUCGGAAUUACUGGGCGUAAAGCGUGCGCAGUCGGUUUUGUAAGACAGGCGUGAAAUCCCCGGGCUCAACCUGGGAAUGGCGCUUGUGACUGCAAAGCUAGAGUGCGGCAGAGGGGGAUGGAAUUCCGCGUGUAGCAGUGAAAUGCGUUGAGAUCGGAAAGAACACCAACGGCGAAAGCACUCUGCUGGGCCGACACUGACACUGAGAGACGAAAGCUAGGGGAGCAAAUGGGAUUAGAUACCCGUGUAGUCCCUGUCUCUUAUAA